GACGAACGCUGGCGGCGUGCUUAACACAUGCAAGUCGAACGGAAAGGCCCUGCUUUUGUGGGGUGCUCGAGUGGCGAACGGGUGAGUAACACGUGAGUAACCUGCCCUUGACUUUGGGAUAACUUCAGGAAACUGGGGCUAAUACCGGAUAGGAGCUCCUGCUGCAUGGUGGGGGUUGGAAAAUUUCGGCGGUUGGGGAUGGACUCGCGGCUUAUCAGCUUGUUGGUGGGGUAGUGGCUUACCAAGGCUUUGACGGGUAGCCGGCCUGAGAGGGUGACCGGCCACAUUGGGACUGAGAUACGGCCCAGACUCCUACGGGAGGCAGCAGUGGGGAAUAUUGCACAAUGGGCGGAAGCCUGAUGCAGCAACGCCGCGUGCGGGAUGACGGCCUUCGGGUUGUAAACCGCUUUCGCCUGUGACGAGGCGUGAGUGACGGUAAUGGGUAAAGAAGCACCGGCUAACUACGUG
This 468-nucleotide ribosomal RNA is filed under the name uncultured bacterium. RNAcentral describes it as "partial 16S ribosomal RNA". It matches the Rfam family "Bacterial small subunit ribosomal RNA", at positions 28 to 507 of the family's 1533-position model. The record is from RNAcentral.